This 442-nucleotide ribosomal RNA is filed under the name Stylosomus rugithorax. RNAcentral's name for it is "partial 16S large subunit ribosomal RNA". It matches the Rfam family "Bacterial large subunit ribosomal RNA", at positions 1829 to 2523 of the family's 2925-position model. Lineage: Eukaryota; Metazoa; Arthropoda; Insecta; Coleoptera; Chrysomelidae. The record is from RNAcentral.
GUCUUCAUGGUAAUGAUGUGAAGUCGGCCCUGCCCAAUGAUUGUUUAAAUGGCCGCAGUAUUUUGACUGUGCAAAGGUAGCAUAAUCAUUUGCCUCUUAAUUAGGGGCUGGAAUGAAGGGGUUGAUGAAAAAGGUUCUGUCUCUUUUAUAUAAUUAGAAGUUUAUUUUUAAGUUAAAAAGCUUAAAUAUUUUUAAAAGACGAGAAGACCCUAUAGAGUUUUAUAUAUCUUGGGAUUUUAUUUUAAGGGUAUAUAUUUAAUAAUAUUUUCAAGGAAUAUUUAGUUGGGGUGACUAUGAAAUGUGCUUAACUUUCAUUGAUUUUUAAUAUUUAUGAAUAGAUAAUAUUUAAAUGAUCCAAUCAUUGUUGAUUAUUAGAUAAAAUUACCUUAGGGAUAACAGCGUAAUUUUUUUUUAGAGUUCUUAUCGAUAAAAGAGAUUGCGA